GGUGGAUAAUUUAUGCAAACUUUAGGGGUAAUUUCCAAGACGGACGAUCAUAAACCGAAUUUGCUUUAUUAUUAGGGAGAGAAAAGUCUCUCCUGUUUGUUUCACAUGAGACUAAAAGGAAUUUUUUUUAGUCCCUACAUCGAAAAGUCUCUCGGAACAAACACCCCCUAACUCCCAUCAAGUGCUGGGUGGCAAACGACCAUAGCUGUCUGCGUCCAGUAGCUUGCAGGUUUUACUCAGGCCGACGCAAUUGCAGUUGCAGAGGAGACGGACGGGGGCUCGCUGGCUGGCAGGCAACAAUUACUUCUAGGUUGUGCCUCCGCUCCGCUCCCACGUGAAAGGAAAUCACGGGCCUCGAAAGAUAGUAAUUUCAAUGUAAGAACUUCUUCCAAGUCAUAACGUUCUGGUACCAUCCAUCCAUCGUGUACAAGAUUCACUGCACCGCACCUGUGGAGCCUCCAUAGUCCAUUCCAUGGAGUAAAUAAAUGGCACCACAGCUACCAGCGGCCCUAAUUGACUGACUAGUAGUCAUUCAACAUUCAUCCGUUUCAUUCAUUAAGCCAUGGCGUGAAUGCCCCAUCAGUGCUUAUCAUCACACCAUGCUUGUUGUAGCUCGUAUCGUACUGCCGGCGUAACUCGUGUGCCGCAACGUGUUCUCGCAUGCGUGCAUGCAUGUGAUCGCCCGUCGUGCAUGCCACUACCCACCCGUUCAAUGUUGCAUUUCAUCGAUCGAGCAUGACGACCAGUACAUACACCAGUGGUAAACAGCAAUCGAACAAAGUCACUAGACUUGGAUGCUGGUUCAUAAUUUACUAGAGUAUUCUCUAGAAGUACUGGAAGGUUAAAAUAGGUGCUUCGAUUUUGAUAUUUUUCAGUUUGUUUCAUAAAUGUUCAGUUCAGAUGCUGAUAACUUUCCAGGUUCUUUCAAAGCUAUUUGGUUCAGAUUCUGAUAUUUUGUGUGUGCAGUAUGCAAAAUCAUAUGAUUCGUACUCAGGUUGGGGGAGGCAUGGUGGGCAUUGGUGUUCUGGCGCAAGUUGCCACGGCCCGGAAGAGGAGAUGUCAUCAUGUCGAGCUCACGAGAUAGGGCAGCCACCACUGCCGCCUCCCGCAACGACAAAGAAAAGGUGAGGAUGCUUGACUGUCAAAACUGAAAUUUGAGAUUUGCUUGUGUAAUUGAGAAGCUGAGAUCUGCUUGUAAACAUAGGGUGAAGAUCUUGGCUAUUAUUGUGAAGUACAUAAGGUGAUGAGCUUACUCGGUGCUUUCCCUUCUUUACGCACAUCAUGUUUCGUCGCGAGCACGAUGACAAAGAAGUUAGAAGAAGCAAGGCAUGCAUGAUCUAGGCAUGCAUGCACACUCUCAUAUCUGUUCUUUGUUCUUUAGGACAUUGUUUUAGUGCCGAAUUUUCUUGGAAUUUGGAUGUAGUGCUAAUUUUGCGGAGAAUUUGAUGUAUACUUUACAUGCUAAGAAAAUUCAAAUGCUGGGAGUUAUGUACAUAUUCUUAGAAUACUAUUCUAAUUGGAAAAUAUGUUGUCAUUGAAUCUAGACUGGUUGUAUGUUGAUGAUAUAAAUUUUAUUUUGGUAAAAAUAGG
This 1590-nucleotide long non-coding RNA is filed under the name Hordeum vulgare. RNAcentral describes it as "long non-coding RNA (HVUL_LNC011674)". The record is from RNAcentral. Lineage: Eukaryota; Viridiplantae; Streptophyta; Magnoliopsida; Poales; Poaceae.